RNAcentral lists this ribosomal RNA (1550 nucleotides) under hot springs metagenome. RNAcentral's name for it is "bacterial LSU rRNA". The stretch from base 1 to 1066 matches the Rfam family "Bacterial large subunit ribosomal RNA", at positions 1101 to 2925 of the family's 2925-position model. The record is from RNAcentral.
UUGGCUUAGAAGCAGCCAUCCUUGAAAGAGUGCGUAACAGCUCACUGGUCAAGUGGUCCUGCGCCGACGAUGUAACGGGGCUCAAGCACGGCACCGAAGCUGCGGGAUCCCCCGCAUGGCUCGGCGUACGAGGGAGGCCUCGUGCGUCCAGGCCGGGGGAUCGGUAGGGGAGCGUUCCGACGCGGGUGAAGCGGCGGGGGAACCCAGCCGUGGACGCGUCGGAAGUGAGAAUGCCGGCAUGAGUAGCGAGAGACGGGGGAGGAGCCCGUCCGCCGAUAGCCCAAGGGUUCCUGGGGAAGGUUCAUCCGCCCAGGGUUAGUCGGGACCUAAGCCGAGGCCGAGAGGCGUAGGCGAUGGACGACCGGUUGAUAUUCCGGUACCACCUCAUCCGCGCCCAGGCCGGAUCCGGGGUACUAAGGGAACCCCUCCUCCGGGAGGGGCUACCGACCGACCCGGUGACGGCCAGCGAUGGGGGGACGCAGAAGGGUAGCUCGACCCAGGCGUUGGUCGUUCCUGGGGCAAGCGUGUAGGGGGAGGCCCUAGGCAAACCCGGGGCCUCGUCAACCCCGAGGCGUGAUGCCGAGCCGCUUCAGGCGAAGCGAGCGAUCCCAUGCUGCCGAGAAAAGCCUCUAGCGAGUGGAUGAGGUGCCCGUACCCCAAACCGACACAGGUGGGCCGGUAGAGCAUACCGAGGCGAUCGAGAGAACCCUGGUUAAGGAACUCGGCAAAUCGCCCCCGUAACUUCGGGAGAAGGGGGACCCCGGUAGGGUGAAGGCCCUCGCGGCCGGAGCUCGAAGGGGUGGCACAGACCAGGCCCAAGCGACUGUUUACUAAAAACACAGGUCCGUGCUAAGUCGUAAGACGACGUAUACGGACUGACGCCUGCCCGGUGCCGGAACGUUAAGGGGAGGGGUCAGCGCGGCCUUUGGGUCGCGCGAAGCUCCGAACCUAAGCGCCGGUAAACGGCGGCGGUAACUAUAACCGUCCUAAGGUAGACGGCCGAGGAUGCGCCCCUCGGCGCUGCCCCUCGCGUCGGCGACGGCGCGAGUGCAGCUGGCUAUAUGCUGGGACACCCGAGGAUCCGGCGGUACUCGCCAUGUCGGUGCCGAACGUUGGGCGCGCCGGCAUGCGCAGUGACAACCCGACCGGUGCGGGCGAUCAGCAGGAAAGAUCGGGGAUCGAGCAGUGGAUCGUCGGGUUCGUGGACGGCGAGGUUGCUUCAGCGUCCCGAUCAUCCGGACCCGGGCUGCAGGCUCGGGUGGCAGGUGCAGCCCCGCUCCGCGGUCGUGCAGGGCCGGCGGAGCGUGGAGGCCCCGUGGAUGAUCCGGCGGUACUUCGGCUGUGGCGGUCUGCCGGAACCGGAGGUACGACCACCGAGAGGACCUGUUCGCCUACGGGGUCCCUCGGUUCCAGGACCUCCGGGACCGGAUCGUGCGUCCUUCGAACGGGAUCCACUGGUCACGGCGAAGGCCGAUGGGUUCACGAGGUUCGCGGCGGUCAUCCGGAUGAUGGAGGCCAAGUUCCACCUCUCGGUGGAGGGCCUCGCUCGG